Wasmannia auropunctata (little fire ant) is the source of this 505-nucleotide long non-coding RNA. RefSeq lists it as uncharacterized. The record is from RefSeq and is a predicted model, not a curated record. The transcript has 3 exons. NCBI's taxonomy places the organism in Eukaryota, Metazoa, Arthropoda, Insecta, Hymenoptera, Formicidae.
UAAACUCCGCUCGUCGCGCAGUCGACUACUUGCCUCGUCAAUCAAGGAUAAUCGUUGAGAGCACAUGAUGCCUGAACGCCGGAAUGUUCGCGGUCGGUCCUCUACUCCUCGUCUGGUACCUGCUUGUCGUCGCGAUCGCGUCUCGAGUAUAAUGAUACGACGACACGCGGGGCGCCGUUCGCCGGUCGGUCGUUUCGGUACGAGAUGCUAAAAAAUCGCGGCAAUCUUCGUGCUCUUGGAAAAAUUCAAUAGUUCAAAUAUUAAAUUGAAGCACCAACAACGUCAGUUAUAUCGAUAAGUAAUAUUUCGUUUUUUUCACGUGAUUAUACGCGUAUAUCCGUUAAUCUCGGGAGUGCCAAGUGCCCUUGCUUUCGUAAAUAAGUAUUGCACGAGAGUAAACGAGAAAAUCUGAGAGAACGAAGAGGAGGAGCAGGAGCAGGUGCGAGGAUGAGGCCUGGGAAGCAAGUGACCAAUACAGUAACUCCGCUGCUGCCCAUCGUAUCAG